CCUACGGGGGGCAGCAGUGAGGAAUAUUGGUCAAUGGACGAGAGUCUGAACCAGCCAAGUAGCGUGAAGGAUGACUGCCCUAUGGGUUGUAAACUUCUUUUAUAAAGGAAUAAAACGAGGCACGUGUGCCUGUUUGCAUGUACUUUAUGAAUAAGGAUCGGCUAACUCCGUGCCAGCAGCCGCGGUAAUACGGAGGAUCCGAGCGUUAUCCGGAUUUAUUGGGUUUAAAGGGAGCGUAGAUGGGUUGUUAAGUCAGUUGUGAAAGUUUGCGGCUCAACCGUAAAAUUGCCAUUGAUACUGGCAGUCUUGAGUACAGUUGAGGUAGGCGGAAUUCGUGGUGUAGCGGUGAAAUGCUUAGAUAUCACGAAGAACCCCGAUUGCGAAGGCAGCUUACUAACCUGUGACUGACAUUGAUGCUCGAAAGUGUGGGUAUCAAACAGGAUUAGAUACCCUUGUAGUC
This 460-nucleotide ribosomal RNA is filed under the name uncultured bacterium. Its description in RNAcentral is "partial 16S ribosomal RNA". It matches the Rfam family "Bacterial small subunit ribosomal RNA", at positions 338 to 795 of the family's 1533-position model. The record is from RNAcentral.